AGCUUAAGGGGCGCGCGACGGCGUUCGGUAGCUUUUGAGCUCGGAACUGGACUGCCAGGGGGUCGCGUGAGGGGGGGGAACCUCUCGUCUGCACCCUGCUGCGUUGCAUACACGGGUGGGUCACCCCACAGCCACAAGGCUCCGCGGGGCAGAGGCUUCCUUCCCCACCGCCUUGAACUCCUCCGCGUCGAAAGCCGUGCACCGCCACCAACCCCCUCAUCUGCUUCUCCCUUCAAGGCGUUUCUGUCGCCGCAGACGGACAAGAGAACUACGUCUAUGGGUGGCGGGGGCAGCGGCCGUGCUCUGAACCCCUCCAUGGCAGGCUCAGGUUGUAUAUAAGUGUAAAUAAACCAUAUUAUCUUAAAGAAACCAUAGUCUCCGCUAUGCCUCAUUUCCAAAGGAAACACGAAUCCUGGGUAAGUGCCUGGACCCCUGGAAUCUAGCACUGUUGUGGAGGUUGUGGUGGCUUGUAACAAUACUCUUCAUAGACUUCCUUUAAAUAAAGCAAUAAGUUUGAAGGUUGGGGGAGCAAUCUUUCACUCAUUUUUUUUGCUUUUGAACCAGGAGGUGGGGCUGUGCACAACAGAAUAAUAAUAUUGAAAUAGCAAAUGUGGGACACAGAACAGUCUCUACAUAUUCAUUUCCUUUGUCUUGUAUUUAUUAUUUUAUUAUCUUUGAAGGAAAAAGCACAAACUUCUCAGGGUCCCAAGGUAUAGUAUGAGGUCACAUGAGGCCACCGUCUUUCUAAAGCAGAUGAGGUCUGGAUCUGGGUCAGUGCUAGGGUGGGGUCCCACUUCUUUUGUUUCUUGGUUUAUCUGGGAAAACCUCUUUUGUGUUUGUAGAAACUUUCAACCAUCACCAUUUUACUGGAGUUGAAGAGAUCAUUACAAGAUGAAAAGUCUGACAGUGUGUUGACACUGCAACAAAAAGUCACGUGCAAAUAUAACCAGCCCUGGGAACAUGAAAGUUAUUAUUUUUUAAAAAAUCAAUUUUUUACUAAAAUUUGGCACAUAAUUAAAUUAAUUAAAGUAAUUACAUUUCCUUUUAGUAUUCUUCCUAAUUAUUUAAGCUUACCUUACUCUAGAA
This is a non-coding RNA of Podarcis muralis (Common wall lizard), 1086 nucleotides long. Lineage: Eukaryota; Metazoa; Chordata; Lepidosauria; Squamata; Lacertidae. The record is from RefSeq and is a predicted model, not a curated record.